Molecule: ribosomal RNA, 663 nt
Filed under: Triticum aestivum (bread wheat)
Lineage: Eukaryota; Viridiplantae; Streptophyta; Magnoliopsida; Poales; Poaceae
Description: partial small subunit ribosomal RNA
Source: RNAcentral
AUGGGUGUGGAGCCAAAAUUUCAAACAAAACGUCAAAGUAAAAGGAAGAGGCAUUUUGAUGAAAUCAAUGAUGUAGAUGAUGAUCUACAACUAUCAGCUAUUGAAUCAUUCAGAGUUACUUACUUUCUUGUCAUUGUUGACACCGCAAUUGCUUCAUUGACUAGUCGGUUUAAGCAGCUGAAGGAAUUUGAAAAUGUGUUUGGUUUCUUAUUCAACUCAAAUAAUCUGAAGUCUUUGGAUGAUAGUAACCUACGAAAAUCUUGCACUAGUUUUGCUAAAGCUUUUACUCAUAAAAGUUCGCAUGAUGUUGAUCUUGAUGAUUUUUUCUCUGAGUUAAAAGUGUUGCAAGUAACUUUGCCAGAUGAUUUGAUGUCAGCACCUGAGAUUCUUCAGUUUGUUACAGCUGUAGAUUGCUAUCCAAAUGUGUCAGUUGCCUAUCGGAUCCUCUUGAUUGUACCUGUGACUGUAGCCUCGGCUGAAAGAAGUUUCUCUAAAUUGAAACUACUGAAGAAUUGUUUGAGGUUGACCAUGUUACAAGACAGAUUGAAUGGAUUGGCCAUGUGCUCUGUUGAGAAGGAUAUCUUGGACAACAUUGAUCUUGAUAUUGUCAUCAAUGAUUUUGCUUCUAGAAAUGCCCGAAGAAGUUUUUUCGUGAAGAAUUGA